This 500-nucleotide ribosomal RNA is filed under the name uncultured bacterium. RNAcentral's name for it is "partial 16S ribosomal RNA". It matches the Rfam family "Bacterial small subunit ribosomal RNA", at positions 29 to 523 of the family's 1533-position model. The record is from RNAcentral.
AUUGAACGCUGGCGGCAUGCCUUACACAUGCAAGUCGAACGGCAGCACGGGAGCAAUCCUGGUGGCGAGUGGCGAACGGGUGAGUAGUACAUCGGAACGUGCCUAGUAGUGGGGGAUAGCCCGGCGAAAGCCGGAUUAAUACCGCAUACGACCUGAGGGUGAAAGCGGGGGAUCGCAAGACCUCGCGCUAUCAGAGCGGCCGAUGCCAGAUUAGGUAGUUGGUGGGGUAAAAGCCUACCAAGCCGACGAUCUGUAGCUGGUCUGAGAGGACGACGAGCCACACUGGGACUGAGACACGGCCCAGACUCCUACGGGAGGCAGCAGUGGGGAAUUUUGGACAAUGGGCGCAAGCCUGAUCCAGCCAUGCCGCGUGCAGGAAGAAGGCCUUCGGGUUGUAAACUGCUUUUGUCAGGGAAGAAAAGUUCUGGGCUAAUACCCCGGAGCGAUGACGGUACCUGAAGAAUAAGCACCGGCUAACUACGUGCCAGCCGCCGCAGUAA